GACGAACGCUGGCGGCGUGCUUAACACAUGCAAGUCGAACGGAAAGGCCCUGCUUUUGUGGGGUGCUCGAGUGGCGAACGGGUGAGUAACACGUGAGUAACCUGCCCUUGACUUUGGGAUAACUUCAGGAAACUGGGGCUAAUACCGGAUAGGAGCUCCUGCUGCAUGGUGGGGGUUGGAAAGUUUCGGCGGUUGGGGAUGGACUCGCGGCUUAUCAGCUUGUUGGGGGGGUAGUGGCUUACCAAGGCUUUGACGGGUAGCCGGCCUGAGAGGGUGACCGGCCACAUUGGGCCUGAGAUACGGCCCAGACUCCUACGGGAGGCAGCAGGGGGGAAUCUUGCGCAAUGGGCGGAAGCCUGAUGCAGCAACGCCGCGUGCGGGAUGACGGCCUUCGGGUUGUAAACCGCUUUCGCCUGUGACGAAGCGUGAGUGACGGUAAUGGGUAAAGAAGCACCGGCUAACUACGUG
This 468-nucleotide ribosomal RNA is filed under the name uncultured bacterium. RNAcentral's name for it is "partial 16S ribosomal RNA". It matches the Rfam family "Bacterial small subunit ribosomal RNA", at positions 28 to 507 of the family's 1533-position model. The record is from RNAcentral.